Molecule: ribosomal RNA, 559 nt
Filed under: Leptalpheus pacificus
Lineage: Eukaryota; Metazoa; Arthropoda; Malacostraca; Decapoda; Alpheidae
Description: partial small subunit ribosomal RNA
Rfam family: Microsporidia small subunit ribosomal RNA (bases 195-559)
Source: RNAcentral
GAGUGAGUGAGGAAGAUUUGGGUUGAGGUAAGAAGGGAGUUGUAGGGGGGUUAGCCUUUGCGAGUUGGUGAAGUGGUGAAAUAUGAUAAUCUUAUGUUGAGGGGUUGAGCUGUGUUGAUGAUUUGAUUCCUUAAAGAUUAGGGCGAAGACCAGGAUUAGAUACCCUGUUAUGCUUUUAGUAAUUUGAGGUGCCCGGAGUAGUAAACAGAUAUGAUCUCGAAACUUAAAGAAUUUGGCGGUAUCUAAGUCUAGUUAGAGGAACCUGUGCUGUAAACGAUAAACCACGAAUAUCUUACUCCGUCUUGAGAUGGCAGCUCGUAUACCGCCAUUGUUAUUGAUAAUCUUUGAAGAGGUUUAUUGAGAUAGAUUUAUAAUUUAGUAUAUUAGGUCAAGGUGCGGCUAAUGAUGGAGAAGUCAUGGGUUACAUUGAUAUUAGUAAAUACGGAUGAAUUCAGUAGGAUGUGAAUUCUGUAAGAUGGAUUUAAUAGUAAAGUGGGUAUAUCAUGCUCCUUUGAUAUUAGCUCUUAGAUAUGUACACAUCGCCCGUCGUUCUCGCUUU